GAUGAACGCUGGCGGCGUGCCUAAUACAUGCAAGUCGAGCGAACAGACGAGGAGCUUGCUCCUCUGACGUUAGCGGCGGACGGGUGAGUAACACGUGGAUAACCUACCUAUAAGUCUGGGAUAACUUCGGGAAACCGGAGCUAAUACCGGAUAAUAUAUUGAACCGCAUGGUUCAAUAGUGAAAGACGGUUUUGCUGUCACUUAUAGAUGGAUCCGCGCCGCAUUAGCUAGUUGGUAAGGUAACGGCUUACCAAGGCAACGAUGCGUAGCCGACCUGAGAGGGUGAUCGGCCACACUGGAACUGAGACACGGUCCAGACUCCUACGGGAGACAGCAGUAGGGAAUCUUCCGCAAUGGGCGAAAGCCUGACGGAGCAACGCCGCGUGAGUGAUGAAGGUCUUCGGAUCGUAAAACUCUGUUAUUAGGGAAGAACAAAUGUGUAAGUAACUAUGCACGUCUUGACGGUACCUAAUCAGAAAGCCACGGCUAACUACGUG
Molecule: ribosomal RNA, 497 nt
Filed under: uncultured bacterium
Lineage: Bacteria
Description: partial 16S ribosomal RNA
Rfam family: Bacterial small subunit ribosomal RNA
Source: RNAcentral